AAUGAGAUUGCAGUGAUUUAUGUUGUGGUAAUAU
This 34-nucleotide non-coding RNA is filed under the name Trypanosoma brucei brucei. Lineage: Eukaryota; Euglenozoa; Kinetoplastea; Trypanosomatida; Trypanosomatidae. The record is from RNAcentral.